CCGAGUGGGAACAGUUCUUGAUUGUUAGAAACUUUAUGUGCUACCCUCGCACUUAGCUCACACACUUUUGCAUAUUCCUUUUGAUGUCUGAUUUGGCACGUAGGCAGAUCAUACGAUAAUGCAGUUAAACUGAGGAGCGAUCGCGAAAGCUUUUAUCACCGUUACAGUUAGGUCUAUAAAAGGAGCGGGCGACCGCGUGCGACAGUCUUCAGUUCAGAUUGGAAGCGAAAAGACGUACUUCGUCAAGAAGAUUAAACAGUGAAAAACGAAGUCUAAAGUUAAAAUAAGUAAUAAAAAUAAUAGAAAGCGUAUUGAAGCAGACGUGCAAGUGGAAAAGUAUUGUAAAAUCUAAGUAGUGAAAGAUAUUGAAACAGCCUCGUGGCAGGGGUGCUGCCGCAAGCGCUGGUCCGAUUUUCACCAAUCUCUUGGUGCAUAUAUAUUGGCGCGGAGACAAGGGUAGUAAAUCUACUCCAAGGAGAUUUCGGAACCGUGCUCCAGUGCCACAUUCGAGACUGCUCGUUGAUGAUCAUCAAAUGUGUCUGGCGUUAAGUGACUUAUAUAAAUGGAUACCAAAGUCACAAGUUUAUUCAGAUCCACAAGAAAUUAUGACUUUAAAUCUGUGUUGCGUAGUGUAA
Drosophila montana is the source of this 635-nucleotide long non-coding RNA. RefSeq lists it as uncharacterized. The transcript is spliced from 2 exons. The record is from RefSeq and is a predicted model, not a curated record. Lineage: Eukaryota; Metazoa; Arthropoda; Insecta; Diptera; Drosophilidae.